GGCUGGUCUAAUGGUAGUGUGUUAUUCAGAAUCUAUUAACAUUCGUGUCCCUGAAAUUGGUAUGCAACUCCCCACUGCUAAAUAUGACUUGUCUUUU
This 97-nucleotide Y RNA is filed under the name Aotus nancymaae (Ma's night monkey). RNAcentral's name for it is "Y RNA (ENSANAG00000003807.1)". It matches the Rfam family "Y RNA". Rfam says of the family: Y RNAs are components of the Ro ribonucleoprotein particle (Ro RNP), in association with Ro60 and La proteins. The Y RNAs and Ro60 and La proteins are well conserved, but the function of the Ro RNP is not known. In humans the RNA component can be one of four small RNAs -- hY1, hY3, hY4 and hY5. Lineage: Eukaryota; Metazoa; Chordata; Mammalia; Primates; Aotidae. The record is from Rfam by way of RNAcentral.